Long non-coding RNA from Zingiber officinale, 1280 nucleotides. RefSeq lists it as uncharacterized. The transcript has 4 exons. NCBI's taxonomy places the organism in Eukaryota, Viridiplantae, Streptophyta, Magnoliopsida, Zingiberales, Zingiberaceae. The record is from RefSeq and is a predicted model, not a curated record.
GAAUUCCACGGUGGAGUUGGUUGGCCUUCGUCGACCGCCCUCGAGCGAUUCGAGCUGCGUUGGCCACCUCACGGUUCUUGAUGAACAACUCCGCCGCCAGUGUUAUCGAACUCGUCAGGAACUACCGCACUGCCCAAUUAUCUAGCCGCUGCACCGAAUCCUACCUGAUGCUUUUCUCGCACACUGCAAUUUCCGGCCAGCACAGUCUCCUCGUUUAAUUUGAUGUUCCCUGCAGCGGCUGGCGCUCACGAGAUGCGAGGGUUGUAAUCAAGCCCUAGGUUGGGCAACCCAUAUUUCAAGUGCAACAUGAAGCAACCCUCACAAUUGGACGAGAGAUUUCAAGUGACCAGUUUUAUCUGAUUGAAAGAGUGACCGGCACCUAUUUCAUGGAGAGAACAUCCAAACAAGAGAAAGGAUUUGGCUCGUGGAAUACAAGGAGCUAUUCAAGGUCAGCCUUGUAUGCCCUUGGAUCAAGCCUUGUAUGCAGGAAUUGCAGCCCGCUGCAUUAUUCAAAUUUGGAUUUCUAGCAAGCCAUGGGCAUAACUGAAGUUACAGCACAGGAGGGAACUAUAUUACUACAGGAGCUAGGCCCAUGACAAGACAGCAUAUAUAGGAAAACAAUCAAUAGAUGGUCUAAUGAUCUCAGAAUGGUUAUGAACCACUUAUAAUAUUACUGUCAGGUGAAUGGAAAAAAUAACUGGUUAGUAGCUGAUGCCCUUUCCCAUGAAUGUGAGGUGGUAGGAAUCAUUUUUUUUAUUCUGUUGUAUGUUUUCAAGAAUUAGAUGCAGAUGGAGUGAAAUGGCAUUGUGCAAGAUUAAUUCCAGGGGUUAAGAAAAGACCUGUGAGGCAAAUCUGGUUUGGUGUGAGGAAGGAAUGAGAAUAGAAGUGAGAUCCUUUCUUGAGACUGUACACAAUCCGAGAGUUGAUUGGGGAUAACCUGUAAUAGACUUGGUUAAUUUUGGUGUUUGUUAUCUUACAAACAUGUAACGAAUUGUGCAUCAUUUCUUUCCUGACAUAAAAUCCCUUUUUUCCAUUUAAGAAAUGCUUUCAUUUUUUAUACGAAAUGCUCUCAUUGAUCUUAGAGAGAGUGAUGUGGACAAUUAUAAUAUGCUCAUAAACAGAGUCUUUGUAAUAAAAGUUGAUUCGAACUUCUGACCUUUAAUAGAAAACUCUUUGAACCUAACUUGCUUAUCAAUUGUUGCUUCAUUGAAUAUUAUUUAUCCUCUGCACAGCUGCACUUUCAUGUUUUCCUUUGAAAAUCUUGUUACACUGAAGUUUAC